AUUCCAUUUGUUUGCACGGACAGAUGAGUCAGUCGCAGCGGCUUGGGGCUCUUAGUGGUUUCAAGGCCAAAGAGAAGCGCAUUCUCGU
Molecule: small RNA, 88 nt
Filed under: Polarella glacialis
Lineage: Eukaryota; Dinophyceae; Suessiales; Suessiaceae
Description: partial transfer-messenger RNA
Source: RNAcentral